GUAGGUGAACCUGCGGAGGGAUCAUUACAGAGAAACUCGCCCGCAAGGGUGACUCUCCAACCCUAUGUUAAUUAUACCUUUGUUGCUUUGGCGAGCCGCUUCGGCCACCGGCUCACGCUGGUGAGUGCUCGCCAGAGGACCCUAACUCUGUUUAAUAAUGUCGUCUGAGUACUAUAUAAUAGUUAAAACUUUCAACAACGGAUCUCUUGGUUCUGGCAUCGAUGAAGAACGCAGCAUCUGACUGACUUCA
Molecule: unclassified non-coding RNA, 250 nt
Filed under: plant metagenome
Description: partial contains small subunit ribosomal RNA, internal transcribed spacer 1, and 5.8S ribosomal RNA
Source: RNAcentral